UACAAUAUAAAUAUAAACAUGAAUUUGAUUUAUGAAUGCUUUAGAUUAAUAAGGAGUGUAUUUCUCGACCAUUACUCCUCAAUAACAGAUCAAUUUGGUUUAAUGUAUAGUAUGCAAUAUGACAAUAAUGUUUUCAUGUUAUGGAGUUGCGAUUCAUUUUAUAAAACAAUUGCUAUGUUCUGUUUUUUAAUCAAGGAGGAUCCAAGUGAAGCUACAGGAGUUUCAUUAACGUCAAUAACUUGGACCGAACAGUUUAUUUUGCUUGAUGAAGAGCAGGAGGCAGUGUGGAGAGAAAGAGGAGCCGGGUUGAGCCCACUUCCAUCAUCGUACCACAAGGAAGAUGAGGGGGAGAAAUUAUCCUACCAUUAAAGAGGUAGUACUGACGCAUUUAUGGAGAUGGGACAUGAGGGCCUUGUCUGCGUGCUCAAGAGAAGAUUCCACAGAGUUCAAGCUGAGCAGGCUGCAGCAGGUUUGGAGGAAUCCUCCUCUGAAGAGGAAACAUGGCGAGGUACUUCUCCACUGAUGAAGAAAUUUAUUCUCAAGAGAAGCUGCCUCAGCUCCACGGUCCCUCCUGCAGCUUCCACUCCUGAUGCUAACCCCCUGUCUACAUCACACCAUCCGGGCAGACCUGGAGUCACAGAACUUUGUCCAGAGCUGCCGUCUGAGAAUUGUUGAUCAUAUAAUUUCCAGCAGAUGCCUUAAUGUAAUGUUUGUGCACAAUA
Molecule: long non-coding RNA, 722 nt
Organism: Limanda limanda (common dab)
Lineage: Eukaryota; Metazoa; Chordata; Actinopteri; Pleuronectiformes; Pleuronectidae
Exons: 3
Source: RefSeq, a predicted model, not a curated record